GGCCUCCUGGUGCUUACCACAGACUGUGUUUUUACACUGACUGUAUAGAAAGAGGAGGUAAAGCAAACAUGCCCCAUGUACACCCCAGCCUAGGCCACUGUGUCUGGUCUGUAUUGUGAAUGGGGCGACAUGG
RNAcentral lists this small nucleolar RNA (133 nucleotides) under Nannospalax galili (Upper Galilee mountains blind mole rat). RNAcentral describes it as "Small nucleolar RNA SNORA51 (ENSNGAG00000005365.1)". It matches the Rfam family "Small nucleolar RNA SNORA51". Rfam says of the family: ACA51 is a member of the H/ACA class of snoRNA that guide the sites of modification of uridines to pseudouridines. The record is from Rfam by way of RNAcentral. Lineage: Eukaryota; Metazoa; Chordata; Mammalia; Rodentia; Spalacidae.